GAAUAGAUACCCCGGUAGUCCACGCCGUAAACGGUGGGCACUAGGUGUGGGCGACAUUCCACGUCGUCCGUGCCGCAGCUAACGCAUUAAGUGCCCCGCCUGGGGAGUACGGCCGCAAGGCUAAAACUUAAAGGAAUUGACGGGGGCCCGCACAAGCGGCGGAGCAUGUGGCUUAAUUCGACGCAACGCGAAGAACCUUACCAAGGCUUGACAUACACCGGAAACGUCCAGAGAUGGGCGCCCCCUUGUGGUCGGUGUACAGGUGGUGCAUGGCUGUCGUCAGCUCGUGUCGUGAGAUGUUGGGUUAAGUCCCGCAACGAGCGCAACCCUUGUCCCGUGUUGCCAGCAGGCCCUUGUGGUGCUGGGGACUCACGGGAGACCGCCGGGGUCAACUCGGAGGAAGGUGGGGACGACGUCAAGUCAUCAUGCCCCUUAUGUCUUGGGCUGCACACGUGCUACAAUGGCCGGUACAAUGAGCUGCGAUACCGCGAGGUGGAGCGAAUCUCAAAAAGCCGGUCUCAGUUCGGAUUGGGGUCUGCAACUCG
Molecule: ribosomal RNA, 545 nt
Filed under: uncultured bacterium
Lineage: Bacteria
Description: bacterial SSU rRNA
Rfam family: Bacterial small subunit ribosomal RNA
Source: RNAcentral